RNAcentral lists this ribosomal RNA (591 nucleotides) under uncultured bacterium. Its description in RNAcentral is "bacterial SSU rRNA". It matches the Rfam family "Bacterial small subunit ribosomal RNA", at positions 32 to 589 of the family's 1533-position model. The record is from RNAcentral.
AACGCUGGCGGCGUGCUAACUAGCAUGCAUGUCUGAACGCUUUUUCUUUCACCGGAGCUUGCUCCACCGAAAGAAAAAGAGUGGCGAACGGGUGAGUAACACGUGGGUAACCUGCCCACCAGAAGGGGAUAACACUUGGAAACAGGUGCUAAGUACCGUAUAAUAAUGUAAAACCUGCAUGGUUUUACUUUGAAAGGCGCUUUUGCGUCACUGGUGGAUGGACCCGCGGUGCAUUAGCUAGUUGGUGAGGUAACGGCUCACCAAGGCAACGAUGCAUAGCCGACCUGAGAGGGUGAUCGGCCACAUUGGGACUGAGACGCGGCCCAAACUCCUACGGGAGGCAGCAGUAGGGAAUCUUCGGCAAUGGACGAAAGUCUGACCGAGCAACGCCGCGUGAGUGAAGAAGGUUUUCGGAUCGUAAAACUCUGUUGUUAGAGAAGAACAAGGAUGAGAGUAAAACGUUCAUCCCUUGACGGUAUCUAACCAGGAAGCCACGGCAUAACUACGUGCCAGCAGCCGCGGUAAUACGGAGGGUGCAAGCGUUAAUCGGAAUUACUGGGCGUAAAGCGCACGCAGGCGGUCUGUCAAGUC